RNA transcript from Sorghum bicolor (sorghum), 1265 nucleotides. RefSeq lists it as uncharacterized. The record is from RefSeq and is a predicted model, not a curated record. NCBI's taxonomy places the organism in Eukaryota, Viridiplantae, Streptophyta, Magnoliopsida, Poales, Poaceae. The transcript is spliced from 7 exons.
ACAGAUCACACUGGUGUUAGACGACCCUGAUCAUGGCUAUCUGAAAUCCAAACAAAUGAAACAGCAGUAGCCAGGUAUUAUAACAGUGGAUCUACAAUAAUAGUUUCAAGAUGAAUGCUCAGCACUAUCCAAAUCUUACUGUGAUUGAUGACUCAGAGAUUCAGUCCAACGCUGACCACAUAGAAGAAAGAGCAGUGAUUGCAAGACUUCCACAGUCAGCAAGAAAUAUCAUAGAGCAUAUACAGUUAAGGGAUGCAAUCCAGGAAAGUUUCCAAAUUGAUAUCAAAUUAGAAGAUAUCUCACAAUACAAUUCGGACUACAUUAUCAUGCUACACUCACCCAAUACAAAAAACAUCCUGCUCAACAAAGGAUUUCUCAAAGUUGAUACCUUCACACUUCCACUGAUCCCAUGGGACAGAUAUUAUGGUUCAACAAUUAUGCCUCUUCCAACUUAUCUUACAGAUGCUGAACACCAAAAUCAAUAUUCACUCACGCGGUCACGCCACACAAUAGAGAACAGCUAACCAUUGAUAUCUUUGGACUUCCACCUCAUUUGUGCUGUGAAUUCAUAGUACGCCACCUGCUUAAGAAACUCUGUGUCAUCCAUGAAGUUACAUUUACACCAGCAAAUUUAGUGUACUCAGUCGAUGCCUAUGGAUCAGAAAUGUAUGUUCCCAAUAUUGCAUAUAUAGGUGUGAAAAAAACAACACAAAAUAGCAGUAUUAUCAGCAUGUGGCCAUUAUGGUAUGAAACCAUUACAGAAGACAUGCAUGGCUACCCUUGUGAACCAUACUAUUUACACAACACCGGCAACUUCGAAGGAGACUCUGACCUUGACAGUGAGCAUCGUAGAGAGGUCCACAAACAAUACUAUGAUCUUCAAGAUGGAAACAAUGAGAUGACCUCCCGAUUAAAAGAAUAUGUAACCAGAUUUUCAGACGAUUCAGAUUGGGAACCAUAUGCACCAUGACCAGGUAUCUUCAACACCAAGCAAGACAGCAUAUUUUGGCAACAAGCUUCAAGCAAUGAAGAACAAUAUUCUGGCAGUCUGGAUUAGACAUAUAUAUUACUACUAUGUAAUUGAUGCAUCUUGUACAUACAUGCAUGUAUCGUAUUUAUAUUAGUCUAAUGUACUUGGCUACUCAGAACAAGUAUCUAUUCAGUACUUCGGCGAACAUAUAAUGCAUCCAUCCUGUAAAUACAUGAAGAUCUAAUAUGUUUCCGUAUAUCUACCAUAUAUAAAUCUGUGCUUCUAUGCAUAUGUA